RNAcentral lists this ribosomal RNA (253 nucleotides) under uncultured bacterium. Its description in RNAcentral is "partial 16S ribosomal RNA". It matches the Rfam family "Bacterial small subunit ribosomal RNA", at positions 524 to 776 of the family's 1533-position model. The record is from RNAcentral.
UACAGAGGGUGCAAGCGUUAAUCGGAAUUACUGGGCGUAAAGCGCACGUAGGCGGCUUGGUAUGUCGGGUGUGAAAUCCCCGGGCUCAACCUGGGAACUGCAUCCGAAACUGCCUUGCUCGAGUAUGGGAGAGGGAAGUGGAAUUUCCGGUGUAGCGGUGAAAUGCGUAGAUAUCGGAAGGAACAUCAGUGGCGAAGGCGACUUCCUGGACCAAUACUGACGCUCAGGUGCGAAAGCGUGGGGAGCAAACAGG